GGGCACUUGGCACAGUUGGUAGCGCGCACGCUUCGCAUGCGUGAGGUCGGGAGUUCGAAUCUCCCAGUGUCCA
This 73-nucleotide transfer RNA is filed under the name Collybiopsis luxurians FD-317 M1. Its description in RNAcentral is "tRNA-Ala (CGC) (tRNA-Ala-CGC-1-1)". It matches the Rfam family "tRNA". From Rfam's summary of the family: Transfer RNA (tRNA) molecules are approximately 80 nucleotides in length. Their secondary structure includes four short double-helical elements and three loops (D, anti-codon, and T loops). Further hydrogen bonds mediate the characteristic L-shaped molecular structure. tRNAs have two regions of fundamental functional importance: the anti-codon, which is responsible for specific mRNA codon recognition, and the 3' end, to which the tRNAs corresponding amino acid is attached (by aminoacyl-tRNA synthetases). tRNAs cope with the degeneracy of the genetic code in two manners: having more than one tRNA (with a specific anti-codon) for a particular amino acid; and 'wobble' base-pairing, i.e. permitting non-standard base-pairing at the 3rd anti-codon position. RNAcentral also lists the same sequence under 1 other name. The record is from RNAcentral. Lineage: Eukaryota; Fungi; Basidiomycota; Agaricomycetes; Agaricales; Omphalotaceae.